This 492-nucleotide ribosomal RNA is filed under the name uncultured bacterium. RNAcentral's name for it is "partial 16S ribosomal RNA". It matches the Rfam family "Bacterial small subunit ribosomal RNA", at positions 29 to 507 of the family's 1533-position model. The record is from RNAcentral.
AGUGAACGCUGGCGGUAGACCUAACACAUGCAAGUCGAACGGCAGCACAGUAAGAGCUUGCUCUUACGGGUGGCGAGUGGCGGACGGGUGAGGAAUACAUCGGAAUCUACUUUUUCGUGGGGGAUAACGUAGGGAAACUUACGCUAAUACCGCAUACGACCUACGGGUGAAAGCAGGGGAUCUUCGGACCUUGCGCGAUUGAAUGAGCCGAUGUCGGAUUAGCUAGUUGGCGGGGUAAAGGCCCACCAAGGCGACGAUCCGUAGCUGGUCUGAGAGGAUGAUCCGCCACACUGGAACUGAGACACGGUCCAGACUCCUACGGGAGGCAGCAGUGGGGAAUAUUGGACAAUGGGCGCAAGCCUGAUCCAGCCAUACCGCGUGGGUGAAGAAGGCCUUCGGGUUGUAAAGCCCUUUUGUUGGGAAAGAAAAGCAGCAGGUUAAUACCCCGCUGUUCUGACGGUACCCAAAGAAUAAGCACCGGCUAACUUCGUG